AGAAGUAAAAUUCUCCGCGAGUA
RNAcentral lists this transfer RNA (23 nucleotides) under Chimaera monstrosa (rabbit fish). Its description in RNAcentral is "partial tRNA-Phe". Lineage: Eukaryota; Metazoa; Chordata; Chondrichthyes; Chimaeriformes; Chimaeridae. The record is from RNAcentral.